Molecule: long non-coding RNA, 1413 nt
Filed under: Homo sapiens (human)
Lineage: Eukaryota; Metazoa; Chordata; Mammalia; Primates; Hominidae
Description: HECW2 antisense RNA 1
Source: RNAcentral
ACAAGGAUGAUAGGAUGAGAAAAAGAAAGGACAAAGGCACCAGAGGAGGUAUGCCAAAUGGGAAACUUUUCAUCACUUUCCAGAUAAAAACUAGCAGUCUGUGAAGGCAACUGGUCUGAUUUUUCAGGUAAGAACAUAUGAGAGGCAGGCUGAGACCAAUUUUCUACCAGGCCAGCUAAUUCAUCACAAUGACAAGCUAUGGGUCAUAUGCUUUCAGGAACCAGACACUGGAACAUGUCGUCUGAUGUACAUCACACCAAGAAAUAAAAAAAGAAUUGGAAAGCCAAUGUCCAAUUAUUUACUAAAACAGAAUCCACUGGAGAGAAAUGCAAAGGCAGGUAAAAAGGCAAUCUCUUAACAUGAAAACUCACAACUGUAAAAUGAGAACCUAAACUAUACAGCGACAAACUCAGGAAAAAGUCUCCAGCUACUGCUGUCUCUCAGACUCUCACAGUAUGUGUAACCACUUCCUCCUCUGCACGGAAUCACCCCAGAAGAUCAACUCUACUAGAUCAUUUGAGGACAAUGAACAAAGUCUCAAGACUGAAUUCCCACAGAAAACAUUCUCAUGAAACCACCCAAUAUUCUGGUGAAGUUAAAGAAGGGCAUGUGUUCGGAGACAACCAGAAGCAGCAAUGCUCAAAACCACAAAACUCUGGAUUGCCGACUCUGCACAUCCUGGUUCCUCUAGAUACAGUUCAGUGGCACAUUCACAAAUAAACGUUUUCAAAAACUGCCCUCAGGCAGUUCUAGAGAAAUGCUUUGACUUGCCUAAUGGUAUAAUGUCAAGAAAGGAAGACGAGCACUGAUCAUUCAUACUCAUUAUUACAGUCACAGGGCACUGUCUGACUUGACAGAUACAGCCGAGCAGUUAAAAGGUUAUGGGAAUUUAAGUCCAUUAUGGUCAUACGAUUCUUAUGGACCCAGAGAUAUGAAAUUAAUCAGCCACAUGUGUAGGGACAAAGUUUGUCAUAAAUAGAUAUAAGUUAUCUGCAUGCUAAGAACUUAGUUACUUAACUCUGUUUCCUCAUGUUAAUAUAAACAUAAUUAUAGAAUGCAAAUGAAAUACUUAGCCUGGAGCCUAUUAUAUAGGAAGCACUCAAUAAUUUCAAACUAUUGAGUAUAUUAUUAGAUAGGCUCCAUAAUUAUUUAUUCCUUUUUCAACAGACAGUAUGAUCUAUUGAAAAUAAAGCCAAACUAGAUUUCUUUGACCCACUCCUUUUUCUGUUUGUAUUGUUGGCAAGUUGUUCUAAAUCAACUUGCCAACAUACUAUUAACAUGUUAUUAACAUAGAAGGGAUGCUUAUUUUGUUUGCUUUGUAAGAAAUGCUUCUGAUUCAGUAACUGGGCAAUUUAUUUAAAUAUAAGUAAAAAGCAGAUUUUAUUAAAAACUACUUUGUGCUAUCAUAAAUAA